UUUUUUCUAAAACAUAUUAUUUUUUUAUUUUUCGUUUGUGUAAACAACCAGAUUCGCUGCUCUCGCCUGGAAUUGCCGGUGGGCAUUCUCCCCGUCAACGCCUACCCGCCUAUAUAUAAACAUCCAUAUAUCUGUUUGAUAUUCAAAUUUCUGUAUUUUUUAAUUCUUCUGAUGAUGAGGACGAAAUCCUCGCACAUUUCAUGGAAUAAUUCUGUCCUCUCCACUCAGAAUAAGCAUCCAAGAAGCUUCACGAGAUUUCAAUGCUGAAGUUUGGCAAUACAUAUCACUUCAUUCUUGAAUUCAUCAAGUCCUUGCAUGGAAGUUUCUGACAACCUUUUCACAGCAAUGUCUUGUCCGUCUUCCAGUGUUCCCUAAGACCAUAAAUUGUGCAUUUGAAAAGGUAUUCACUUCAAUGAAACUUUACGUAGCGCAGGAUUUUUGUCAGCUGAAUUCAUGUUUUACUCUAGUUUAACAUGUCUCUUAGGCUAUACAAGAGAAGGACUUGAACAUUGGUACAGAUGUAUGUACAAAGCUGAUAUUAAUCUUUCACUCUCUGAUAAAACGCCUACUCGGAUAACAUUGAUAUCGUGUGAAUUGAAUUUGAGGAGAACAUCUCUUAUAGCAAGAGAAGCAAAUAUUUGAAUAUUA
Molecule: long non-coding RNA, 648 nt
Organism: Olea europaea var. sylvestris
Lineage: Eukaryota; Viridiplantae; Streptophyta; Magnoliopsida; Lamiales; Oleaceae
Exons: 2
Source: RefSeq, a predicted model, not a curated record